Molecule: ribosomal RNA, 443 nt
Filed under: uncultured bacterium
Lineage: Bacteria
Description: partial 16S ribosomal RNA
Rfam family: Bacterial small subunit ribosomal RNA
Source: RNAcentral
GAUGAACGCUGGCGGCAUGCCUAACACAUGCAAGUCGAUCGGUAAGGCUCUUCGGAGUACACGAGAGGCGGACGGCUGAGUAACGCGUAGGAACACACCCUGCAGUGAGGGAUAAGACACCGAAAGGUGUUCUAAUACCGCAUACGGUCUUCGGAUUAAAGCAUUUAUGCGCUGAAGGAGUGGCCUGCGUCAUAUUAGAUAGUUGGUGAGGUAAUGGCUCACCAAGUCGAUGAUGUGUAGCUGGUCUGAGAGGAUGAUCAGCCAGACUGGAACUGAGACACGGUCCAGACUCCUACGGGUGGCAGCAGUGAGGAAUAUUUCACAAUGAGCGAAAGCUUGAUGGAGCAAUGCCGCGUGCAGGAUGAAGGCCCUCGGGUUGUAAACUGCUUUUAUAAGAGAAGAUUAUGACGGUAACUUAUGAAUAAGGGACGGCUAACUACGUG